CAGUCGACGGCAGCACGGGAGCAAUCCUGGUGGCGAGUGGCGAACGGGUGAGUAAUAUAUCGGAACGUGCCCAGUCGUGGGGGAUAACGUAGAGAAAUUUACGCUAAUACCGCAUACGAUCUAAGGAUGAAAGCGGGGGACCGUAAGGCCUCGCGCGAUUGGAGCGGCUGAUAUCAGAUUAGGUUGUUGGUGAGGUAAAAGCUCACCAAGCCGACGAUCUGUAGCUGGUUUGAGAGAACGACCAGCCACACUGGGACUGAGACACGGCCCAGACUCCUACGGGAGGCAGCAGUGGGGAAUUUUGGACAAUGGGCGAAAGCCUGAUCCAGCAAUGCCGCGUGCAGGAAGAAGGCCUUCGGGUUGUAAACUGCUUUUGUACGGAACGAAAAGGUCUGCCCUAAUACGGCGGGCCCAUGACGGUACCGUAAGAAUAAGCACCGGCUAACUACGUGCCAGCAGCCGCGGUAAUACGUAGGGUGCGAGCGUUAAUCGGAAUUACUGGGCGUAAAGCGUGCGCAGGCGGUGAUGUAAGACAGUUGUGAAAUCCCCGGGCUCAACCUGGGAAUUGCGAUGGAGACUGCAAGGCUAGAAUCUGGCAGAGGGGGGUAGAAUUCCACGUGUAGCAGUGAAAUGCGUAGAGAUGUGGAGGAACACCGAUGGCGAAGGCAGCCCCCUGGGUCAAGAUUGACGCUCAUGCACG
This 700-nucleotide ribosomal RNA is filed under the name uncultured bacterium. RNAcentral's name for it is "bacterial SSU rRNA". It matches the Rfam family "Bacterial small subunit ribosomal RNA", at positions 59 to 755 of the family's 1533-position model. The record is from RNAcentral.